UAAUCAUUUAUGAGUGCUAUACAAUAGUCCAGGAAAGCUGUAAGAGAAAAACUCCUUAUAUUCAUGUGCAGAAUUAUUAGGCUGUUUUCUUUUACAGAUGAAAUGCGCUAAAAAAGAGUUUUAACUCAAACUGUUUUAACUCAAAGUCGAAAAUUAUGAAAUACCCAUGAGAAAUAUCAAACACAAAUGCAAUACAGAAAUGGAUAAGUUAAGACUCGACCAUUGUACAAAAAUGCUGACUGGGUCAUGAGGUCAGAAAAGAAGAAGAAAAAAAAAAACAGGUCAAGAAGAACUGACAAAAAUAAUUGCAAAAUAAUUAGGAAUUAAUGUGAAGAUUAAUUUUUAGUCAAUUCUGCAAGACAGACUUUCAGGAAAGGAGGUGGAAUAAAAAUGAGCUCCUAAAUCUUAAUCCCGGAUUCUGGAAGAUAUAUUCCUCAAACCAUCGGACAAGAGGAGGUGGUGCUGGUCCUUCAUGAGUCACUCUAAUCUGUUCAUAAAGCCUAUAUAUAAAGUCUUAAUAUAUAGUAUUUCACAAUACUUCAUGGUAUUCUAAUCAAAUCAUUUUUUGGAAUCUUAGAUCUCUCAGAACCUGACACCGAG
This is a long non-coding RNA of Carassius gibelio (silver crucian carp), 600 nucleotides long. RefSeq lists it as uncharacterized. The record is from RefSeq and is a predicted model, not a curated record. The transcript has 3 exons. Lineage: Eukaryota; Metazoa; Chordata; Actinopteri; Cypriniformes; Cyprinidae.